This 254-nucleotide ribosomal RNA is filed under the name uncultured bacterium. RNAcentral describes it as "partial 16S ribosomal RNA". It matches the Rfam family "Bacterial small subunit ribosomal RNA", at positions 524 to 776 of the family's 1533-position model. The record is from RNAcentral.
UACGUAGGGGGCAAGCGUUGUCCGGAAUUAUUGGGCGUUAAAGCGCGUGUAGGCGGCUCGGUAAGUCUGCUGUGAAAGUCCAGGGCUCAACCCUGGAAUGCCGGUGGAUACUGUCGAGCUCGAGUCCGGAAGAGGCGAGUGGAAUUCCUGGUGUAGCGGUGAAAUGCGCAGAUAUCAGGAGGAACACCAAUGGCGAAGGCAGCUCGCUGGGACGGUACUGACGCUGAGACGCGAAAGCGUGGGGAGCAAACAGG